CCUACGGGAGGCUGCAGUAGGGAAUAUUGCUCAAUGGGGGAAACCCUGAAGCAGCAACGUCGCGUGGAGGAUGAAGGUCCUCGGAUUGUAAACCCCUUUUGUUAGAGAAGAUAAUGACGGUAUCUAACGAAUAAGCACCGGCUAACUCCGUGCCAGCAGCCGCGGUAAUACGGCGGGUGCAAGCGUUACUCGGAAUCACUGGGCGUAAAGAGCGCGUAGGCGGGUUAGCAAGUCAGAUGUGAAAUCCUAUGGCUUAACCAUAGAACUGCAUUUGAAACUGUUAUUCUAGAGUAUGGGAGAGGUAGGUGGAAUUCGUGGUGUAGCGGUAAAAUGCGUAGAGAUCAAGCAGAAUACUGAUUGCGAAGGCAACCUGCUAGAACAUAACUGACGCUGAGGCGCGAAAGCGUGGGGAGCAAACAGGAUUAGAUACCCUAGUAGUC
This 440-nucleotide ribosomal RNA is filed under the name uncultured bacterium. RNAcentral's name for it is "partial 16S ribosomal RNA". It matches the Rfam family "Bacterial small subunit ribosomal RNA", at positions 338 to 795 of the family's 1533-position model. The record is from RNAcentral.